UGCCAGCAGCCGCGGUAAUACGGAGGGUGCAAGCGUUAAUCGGAAUUACUGGGCGUAAGGCGCGCGUAGGCGGUAAGUUAAGUCAGAUGUGAAAGCCCCGGGCUCAACCUGGGAAUGGCAUUUGAUACUGACUGACUGGAGUGUGAUAGAGGGUGGCGGAAUUCCCGGUGUAGCGGUGAAAUGCAUAGAUAUCGGGAGGAACACCAAUGGCGAAGGCAGCCACCUGGGUCAACACUGACGCUGAGGUGCGAAAGCGUGGUGAGCAAACAGGAUUAGAUA
RNAcentral lists this ribosomal RNA (279 nucleotides) under uncultured bacterium. RNAcentral's name for it is "partial 16S ribosomal RNA". It matches the Rfam family "Bacterial small subunit ribosomal RNA", at positions 506 to 784 of the family's 1533-position model. The record is from RNAcentral.